GACCCGCGUUGGAUUAGCUUGUUGGUGAGGUAACGGCCCACCAAGGCGACGAUCCAUAGCCGGCCUGAGAGGGUGAACGGCCACAUUGGGACUGAGACACGGCCCAGACUCCUACGGGAGGCAGCAGUGGGGAAUAUUGCACAAUGGGGGAAACCCUGAUGCAGCGACGCCGCGUGAAGGAAGAAGUAUUUCGGUAUGUAAACUUCUAUCAGCAGGGAAGAUAGUGACGGUACCUGACUAAGAAGCCCCGGCUAACUACGUGCCAGCAGCCGCGGUAAUACGUAGGGGGCAAGCGUUAUCCGGAUUUACUGGGUGUAAAGGGAGCGUAGACGGUGUGGCAAGUCUGAUGUGAAAGGCAUGGGCUCAACCUGUGGACUGCAUUGGAAACUGUCAUACUUGAGUGCCGGAGGGGUAAGCGGAAUUCCUAGUGUAGCGGUGAAAUGCGUAGAUAUUAGGAGGACACCAGUGGCGAAGGCGGCUUACUGGACGNGUAACUGACGUUGAGGCUCGAAGCGUGGNGGAGCAAA
RNAcentral lists this ribosomal RNA (527 nucleotides) under uncultured Lachnospiraceae bacterium. RNAcentral describes it as "bacterial SSU rRNA". It matches the Rfam family "Bacterial small subunit ribosomal RNA", at positions 228 to 772 of the family's 1533-position model. Lineage: Bacteria; Bacillati; Bacillota; Clostridia; Lachnospirales; Lachnospiraceae. The record is from RNAcentral.